RNAcentral lists this microRNA precursor (97 nucleotides) under Nicotiana sylvestris (wood tobacco). RNAcentral describes it as "MIR6152 microRNA precursor family". It matches the Rfam family "MIR6152 microRNA precursor family". RNAcentral also lists the same sequence under 1 other name. The record is from Rfam by way of RNAcentral. Lineage: Eukaryota; Viridiplantae; Streptophyta; Magnoliopsida; Solanales; Solanaceae.
UGGACAGAUUAUUGUAUUCGACUGUAUUCACGACGUAAAAUAUGGGAUUACACUGUUUUUAAAACGGAAAGUAAAUCAAUUAACAUAAUAGAUUCCU